AAGAAAUAGCCGUUCAGAUAGGACACGAGACAAGACUGCACUGCAAUUUCUCCACCAGCAGCUCGGUUUUCUACAUCUACUGAUAUGUCCAAGCUCAUGGGAAAUGAGUAAAGAACCCAGCAAAGCUCUCCUGGGUUUAAGGAGAGAGACUAACCAUCAGAAAUGCUUAUUGAGGGUUGCUACUUUGGGGCAUGGGAGUGAGUAUUAACAAGACAUAUUGACCUUCUUGUCCUUCUGCUGUGCUUUGCACUGUCUCUGCUAACUAUUCCUGUCAGGAAAGGGAGCUCUUUCUGGGAGACAUUCCUACACUUCUCAGAAUCACAGAACAUCCUGAGUUGGAAGGAAACCAUGAAGAUUAUCAAGUCCAAGCCUUGGCUGCACAGAGGACCUUCCAGAAUUCAAACCAUAUAUCUGAGAGCAUUGUCCAAAUUGUCAGGGCCACGAUGAAAAACCAGGGACCUUUACUCUUGUGGCUUUAACUGCAAGGCAAAACACCACGAGGAGGAAAACUUUCUUUUCUGCCUAACAGCUUUCAGCUAAGCCCUCAGCAUGUGAGGAAGCUCCAUUGUCCUGAGACUGAGGAAGACUUUCUGUUCGCUGCAGGGAGGUGUUCAUACUUGCACUCUGCUCUGGAGAACCACCAGUGAAUGGCUGGGGAAGUGUUCCCAUGUCCCUGAAUCUGUGCUGGUUUCUCUGCCCAACAGAAAACUGAUAGUCAUCCCAAAUCUGAGGACUCUUUUUUUCUGUCUGCACACAGUACUCCUUUCAUGCUGUCUGUUUGGUGACACAACUAACCACCCCUAAACAGUAGCAGUGGUGGAAGGAGACAGUACUAGUCAUGGUGGCUUAAACAUGAAUUUAGUUGGAUUUUGAUUCCAGCAGGAGGAAAUGUGCAAGUGUUUGAGCUGGGAACUUCCAAGGUCAAAUACAGAGCAUGCAUCCAGAGGAAGGAUAAGUCACAAGGAGGGACAGGAUGGGCUGAAUAGGAGGGCUGAAGGAAGGAGGAACUUGAAACAGAUAGCCCAUGCCUGCAAUAGUGUAGAAGUACAUGGCUAGACCCAGUCCCACUGCUGGAAGGAUCAAGGAGCUUGUAGUUUGGGUGUUAGCAGCAUGGUUUUGAUUCUUCCUCAUGCUUGAGAAUUAUCCAAGUGUGUGAGGAAGAGGUCAGGGUUUUGUAAGAAAAGGACUACAACUGGAAGAACAAAUAGUAAAUGUGAUGGAGGGCACCACUAACUCAUUCCAAAUUACAUUUUAAAUGUUUAUUUCUCCCCAUCUUGCACCUGAUAGCGAUUGUUCAUUAGGUUAAUCUCUCUCCCUUCCUUCACAGUGGUGUCUCCUCAUAUAUGCCGAAAGGCAAUGUCAAUCCUUAGCAUUGCUGGAGGUGUUGAGGGGCACACUAUGUAGCCUGAACAGUCACUGAAAAGUGCAGACAAAGAUCGUGAGUUACCCUGCCAAAUUAACAUGCUCACACCUUCUGUUCUUCCUCAACUCUGUUUGGAUUGGAGAGGUGGAAACGCUGCAGAGAGCUCCAGUGAAGAUUAUUCCCAAUGGCCUUCUGCACUGUAUCUGACACUGCCUCCUGCUGUGAAUGGCUCACUUUGCCCAAAGUCUGACUACAGAAUAGCAGAGAAAAUUACUGGUCAGUUAUUUCCUCUGUCAAUUGUCAGAAAGGGGUAGUCUACCCACCAUAGGUGUUCCUCAGAUAGGCUUGACUCAAUAGAGAAUAGUUCCUUUGGGGAGGGAUAAUCUGCAAUUUCCUGAGACUCAGAUAUAAAGGGAUGAGGUGUGUGCAAGGGACUCAUAUUGUCAUGGUGCUGGAAAACAUGACAAGAGGAGGAAAAGAGAACUAGGAACUAACCUGCAAGGGGUACUAGAUGGACUGGAUCCUUGCUGGGAAUGUCUGGCAGCCUCCAUGCCAUGGAUUAUCCAUGAAGAGGAAGACUUUGCCUUAAAUUAGUCCUACUCCUGGGUCCCAUUUGGUGAGUUUUGUAUUGAUGAUACUCCAAAGUAUAUAUUAUAGCCUUGCAUGAUAUUAAGUAAUCAUAAGUAAUCAUAAUCAUACUUUACUAGUGAGAAUUUGCAGUUACCUGCAAAUAAUCAGAGAUCUCUAUGACCUUGUCAUUCUGGGCAAAGACCAGCAUGGACACACUACCUUACUGAUCAACUAUAUUGGGUCACACCCCAACAUACAGUCAAACAAGUACAUCUACUGCUACCAUCUACUCCCAGGCCAAGGGCCCAUAUUCACUGUGAGCAAUUUUUGAGAGUCCCAAGAUAUGCUGGACCUAUCAGGGCAGCUGUUGGUGGCAAACAGUGGUCCAGUGUCCUCUGGCUCAUCUAGCUCUAGCACAGGGAUGUGGUGGAGUAACUCUACAUCCUGGGAGUCUAAAGGACGAGGUCAGAGUUCCUUCCAGGGCAGAAGAACAUUCUGACCCCGGCACAGCUUGUCCCAUCUGCUUUGCAGAAGCCCUGGUUCCCAGCACUAGAGUAUGCCUCUGCACAUUGCUGUGCACCAGCAUCAAACACUCACUACUGUGUUAUCUUUCCUUUACACUGCAGCCCCUAGUCAGCCUUGUCACUUUGUAGUAUGGGCAACAGGGUGGGGGAAAUGCAGAAACUGGGGAGAACAGUGAGCAGAGGAUGGUGAGCAAUCAUGUUGAUAUGGGCAGUUGUGGGAUCCUUGUCAGUUUUUUACAAGUGCUGCACCAAAACAACUCCUUCCCAUCACCACUCUCCAGGUUUUCACAUCAGUCAGGCAGUCUGUCACAAAAUCCUUGAAACAAAAUCCCUUUUUCUUCUGGUAGAGUACUACCAGAUCUGCAGAGAGCAACAGCUGCUUUGUCCACAGGAUAUUCACUGCCUGGCUGGAUUUUGACUGAGGGUCUGUUCUUUACAGGGCAGACCUCAUCUUGCAUAAGAAGAAUACUGCCUUGGCUGACAGAUUGCUGCAGAAUUAGAUGUGCAGUGAUGAAAGGGCCUCUUUACUUCAGAUACAAAUUACUCAACAAAAUGAAGAUUGUGGAUCUGCCAGGAAGAUGGAAGGAAAGGCAUGGCCCUGAGGUCUAGUUUUCAGUGCUGGGGUUGUUCCUCAACAGUUCUCUACCCAUAGGCUCUGAACUUGAGGAUUUUGUCUCCUACUUCUUUCCUAAUCCUGAUCCUGAUCCUAUUCCUUUGUGCCAUGCCAACAGCAGCUAGGAAGCACCAAGUUCUCCCUGUGUCCUGCACAGGUGCAUUACAGUGCUGCAGAUGGGGCUGCAUAUACUCCUGCUCUACAGAUCUGUCAGCCUGCUCUGCUGCAGCCAGUGCUAAGACUCACCAAAAUCAGGUCUCUAUUCUCUUGUUACAGGAAUUGAUACAUUCAUCUAUUAAAACACCUUCCUUUCUCCUUCAUCAUCUUCUCCCUGUGUCUCCAGAUUCUCAUGUGUGGAGAGUUGCUGAACUGCUACUUCCAGAAUUACAGAAGUUAAACUAGGAGAAACACAGAACCUUUCUAAAAGAAUGCUACACCCAUGUUUCUGAAAACUUUGAACAUUACAAAGUACCGCUGUGCUUUCAAAAGCUCUCCCACCAACAAAUAGCACACAAAAGAAUAUACACUCUACAAUGAAGGGCAGAUGCUCCUUUGUAGAAUAAAUCUUACGACUGGAGAGAGAAACCUGGAAAAAUGUGCAGGAAGUCACUGAGACUCUCUUCAUCCUCUGCUGCCAAGACAAGCAAAGGCAAGAUGUCAAUGGGCUUUAGUCUUGCCCUUCCCAUCCUGAAGGUGUGACCCCUAAUGCACACCCCAGCAGUCUGCAGGAUGUCACUGACAAAAGCACCUUAUUAUGCAGAAUGCUUAAGAGUCUUUUGAAGGGCUGGGAUUUUGGAGCUCAGAAAGAUGAUCUUCAUCACCUCUUUGCCAGCAUGUGUCCUACUAAUCCACUAAGGUGUCACUGGAGGCAGCCCCAAAAGGAAUUCUUCUCUGAGAUGUCAACCACAAUUGAGCAGUGCUUCUGCCCUGCCAGUACACCACUGAGGACAGUUACAGGACUUUGAAUUUCUUUUGGUACCACCAGCUUCUGGGAAGUUCCUUCGAAUAUGUCCUGGAAGCAUUUGGAUCUUCAGGGGAUAAUGAGUUUUGUGAUCACCAGUUUUCUGUGAUGGUCUAUGAAAAUAAAACACCCCCCUUAGAAACAGCAAAUGUUUCUUUCCAAGAUGCUGCAGUUUAUUCUUGUGGUGUGAAACACCACGAUGAGCUAAACCCUGUUUUCACCCAUGCAAAAUCUGCAUCACUAUAAACAGCACUAGAGAACAAGCUCUGCAAAAUCUACGUUGGCGGUGCUUUCAUCCCUGAAAUAAUUCUUUUCUUGACAUAAGAACAGUUCCAACAUCUUCUCCCACCCCAACACCUCUCUGCAUUUCUGUAGAGGUGUUCAGACUAUGGACUACAGGACUGUUUGCAGAUAAACCAACAACACUCAUAUCUUCCCCCAUGUCCCACUUCAAACUGGGGCAGUGCCCCUGGCCAGGCACUUUGGAAGGACGGAGGAUAUUGGUGUCUAUGUCUGUCCUGGACCAGGGGUGCUGGAGUGGUUGGGGAAUGUUACCCCUUCCCCUAUGUGUGCUCAGCUCCUCAUAGCUCCUCGGGUUCUCUUUCUGCAGGGGUGUGAGCAUAACUGAGUUGUUGAGGCUGGUGGUGGCCAAAGAGCACCUGGGGUACUCUAUGCUCCUUUCCUGUCAGAGAUAUGGCUUCACCUUGAUAAAUCAUCACUUUUGGUAGUACCAGCAGGUACUCAGUGGCAGUCUUGAGAGCAUUUCUUAUACCAGCUAUGAUUCUUCAACCAUUCAAUACUUGCUGGGAGUAAAAGACAGAGUCUUCCAAGGACAAUUCUCUGUCCGUGGCAUCUCUUCUUUUGUGUGCUCUGCACCCUGAGGACUCAGCUUGCUACUUUUGCCUGGUUUGCACAGCCAUGGGAAAUCCAACUGGACUUCAACAAAAAUCUGAUUCCAUGCCUUUUGUAAAUGUGCCACAGGAAGUAGCAGUCCUCAGCCUUAGCCUACAAUGCCUCUAGGCGUCGUCUUGAUUUAACCCUGACAGGCAGCUAAUCACUAUAGAGCUCCUUGCUCACUCCUCCCACGAUGGAUGGGGAACACAAUAAAAAAAAUGAAAAGGAAUAGAAUUCUUGGAAAUAAAAAGAGUGCAUGCUGUCAAAGCAAAAUAAACUAAAAUAACUGACUACCCAUCAGCAGGAAGAUAUUCCACCAUUUCUAGGAAAGCAAGACUUCGUUA
This is a non-coding RNA of Meleagris gallopavo (turkey), 5269 nucleotides long. Lineage: Eukaryota; Metazoa; Chordata; Aves; Galliformes; Phasianidae. The record is from RefSeq and is a predicted model, not a curated record.